Molecule: long non-coding RNA, 340 nt
Organism: Musca vetustissima
Lineage: Eukaryota; Metazoa; Arthropoda; Insecta; Diptera; Muscidae
Exons: 3
Source: RefSeq, a predicted model, not a curated record
CAUCAACAACAAAAAUACGAAUACGAACAACAACAACAAUAGCAGCCACAAUCUAAAUCACAAUUUAUCUGACCACGAAACUCCGGGAAGUGCUAUGGCUACACCAACCACUACCAUAACUUUGUUAUAAGGCCUGUAUAACCUGUAAACAAGAACCCUACCCCACAACUCCAGACCCCCAAUACUUCAUCUUCUCCUCGUCUAUAGAUUUAGGAUUUUUUAGUUAUAAGGACUAUUGGUUUAAAGCCACGCAAAUAAGAAACAACAAACAACAAAAAAACAUUUGAGAAAAACAAAAGAAAAAGAAUAUCAAUAAUCAAUUAUAAAAUGAGCACUGUUU